This is a ribosomal RNA of Lepisosteus oculatus (spotted gar), 119 nucleotides long. NCBI's taxonomy places the organism in Eukaryota, Metazoa, Chordata, Actinopteri, Semionotiformes, Lepisosteidae. The record is from Ensembl.
GCCAGCAGCCAUAUCACCCUGCAACUCACAAUUGGUAACCCACUGAUGCUAAGCAGGUGUGAGCCUGGUCAGUACCUGGAUGGGAUACCUCCUGGGAAAAACUAAGGUUGUUGCUGGAA